RNAcentral lists this ribosomal RNA (1372 nucleotides) under uncultured bacterium. Its description in RNAcentral is "bacterial SSU rRNA". It matches the Rfam family "Bacterial small subunit ribosomal RNA", at positions 28 to 1381 of the family's 1533-position model. The record is from RNAcentral.
GAUGAACGCUGGCGGCGUGCCUAAUACAUGCAAGUCGAGCGAACAGACGAGGAGCUUACUCCUCUGACGUUAGCGGCGGACGGGUGAGUAACACGUGGAUAACCUACCUAUAAGACUGGGAUAACUUCGGGAAACCGGAGCUAAUACCGGAUAACAUGUUGAACCGCAUGGUUCAACAGUGAAAGACGGUCUUGCUGUCACUUAUAGAUGGAUCCGCGUCGCAUUAGCUAGUUGGUAAGGUAACGGCUUACCAAGGCAACGAUGCGUAGCCGACCUGAGAGGGUGAUCGGCCACACUGGAACUGAGACACGGUCCAGACUCCUACGGGAGGCAGCAGUAGGGAAUCUUCCGCAAUGGGCGAAAGCCUGACGGAGCAACGCCGCGUGAGUGAAGAAGGUCUUCGGAUCGUAAAACUCUGUUAUUAGGGAAGAACAAAUGUGUAAGUAACUAUGCACGUCUCGACGGUACCUAAUCAGAAAGCCACGGCUAACUACGUGCCAGCAGCCGCGGUAAUACGUAGGUGGCAAGCGUUAUCCGGAAUUAUUGGGCGUAAAGCGCGCGUAGGCGGUUUUUUAAGUCUGAUGUGAAAGCCCACGGCUCAACCGUGGAGGGUCAUUGGAAACUGGAAAACUUGAGUGCAGAAGAGGAAAGUGGAAUUCCAUGUGUAGCGGUGAAAUGCGCAGAGAUAUGGAGGAACACCAGUGGCGAAGGCGACUUUCUGGUCUGUAACUGACGCUGAUGUGCGAAAGCGUGGGGAUCAAACAGGAUUAGAUACCCUGGUAGUCCACGCCGUAAACGAUGAGUGCUAAGUGUUAGGGGGUUUCCGCCCCUUAGUGCUGCAGCUAACGCAUUAAGCACUCCGCCUGGGGAGUACGACCGCAAGGUUGAAACUCAAAGGAAUUGACGGGGACCCGCACAAGCGGUGGAGCAUGUGGUUUAAUUCGAAGCAACGCGAAGAACCUUACCAAAUCUUGACAUCCUCUGACCCCUCUAGAGAUAGAGUUUUCCCCUUCGGGGGACAGAGUGACAGGUGGUGCAUGGUUGUCGUCAGCUCGUGCCGUGGGAUGUUGGGUUAAGUCCCGCAACGAGCGCAACCCUUAAGCUUAGUUGCCAUCAUUAAGUUGGGCACUCUAAGUUGACUGCCGGUGACAAACCGGAGGAAGGUGGGGAUGACGUCAAAUCAUCAUGCCCCUUAUGAUUUGGGCUACACACGUGCUACAAUGGACAAUACAAAGGGUAGCGAAACCGCGAGGUCAAGCAAAUCCCAUAAAGUUGUUCUCAGUUCGGAUUGUAGUCUGCAACUCGACUACAUGAAGCUGGAAUCGCUAGUAAUCGUAGAUCAGCAUGCUACGGUGAAUACGUUCCCGGGUCU